ACACUGACGUCGCGACGCAUAUCAAUAAGCGGAGGAAAAGAAACUAACAAGGAUUCCCUUAGUAACGGCGAGUGAAGCGGGAAGAGCUCAAAUUUGAAAUCUUCAAGGUUCUACCUUGACGAAUUGUAGUUUAAAGAAGUGUUUUCUGUUGAAGUUGGUCAAGAGUUCUUUGGAAUAGGACAUCAUAGAGGGUGAGAAUCCCGUAUUUGACCAUCAUUUCCAGCUGUGUGAUACACUUUCAAAGAGUCGGAUUGUUUGGGAAUGCAGUCCAAAAUGGGUGGUAAAUUUCAUCUAAAGCUAAAUAUUGGCGAGAGACCGAUAGCGAACAAGUACCGUGAGGGAAAGAUGAAAAGAACUUUGAAAAGAGAGUUAAACAGUACGUGAAAUUGUCAAAAGGGAAGCGUUUGACACCAGUGUUGUUUUUCCGAAAAUCAAUUAUAAAUGUUUUGUUUCUGAGGAGUGAUGACUUCAUCGGCUUCCUUCUCUCUUCACGAAACUUUUGUAAUGCACUUUUCGGUUAACAAGUCAACAUCAAUUUCUUUUGUUGUAAAAGAGUAUUCGGAAGGUGGCUUUCUUUUCGGAGAAAGUGUUUAUAGCCCUAUACUUCUACAAUCGGAGAGAUUGAGGUCUGCAGCGUAGAUCCUUCGGGGUUAGAUACACUUGUGCUAAGUUAUAGCUUUUCAUAGACAACUUGUUGACUAUGUUUAGUCUUGUAGCUUACUCGCUUGUGCUAUUUUACCUACGCUUAGGAUGUUGAGUCGUAGAGCACGCAG
This 773-nucleotide ribosomal RNA is filed under the name uncultured Neocallimastigales. RNAcentral describes it as "partial large subunit ribosomal RNA". It matches the Rfam family "Eukaryotic large subunit ribosomal RNA", at positions 25 to 634 of the family's 3401-position model. The record is from RNAcentral. Lineage: Eukaryota; Fungi; Neocallimastigomycota; Neocallimastigomycetes; Neocallimastigales.